This 349-nucleotide unclassified non-coding RNA is filed under the name soil metagenome. RNAcentral describes it as "partial contains 5.8S ribosomal RNA, internal transcribed spacer 2, and large subunit ribosomal RNA". The stretch from base 1 to 121 matches the Rfam family "5.8S ribosomal RNA", at positions 35 to 154 of the family's 154-position model. The record is from RNAcentral.
GAUGAAGAACGUAGUGAAAUGCGAUAAGUAAUGCGAAUUGCAGAAUUCCAGUGAAUCAUCGAGUCUUUGAACGCACAUUGCGCCCCCUGGUAUUCCGGGGGGCAUGCCUGUCCGAGCGUCAUUGCUGCCCUCAAGCACGGCUUGUGUGUUGGGCCCCGCCCCCCGGCUCCCGGGGGGCGGGCCCGAAAGGCAGCGGCGGCACCGCGUCCGGUCCUCGAGCGUAUGGGGCUUCGUCACCCGCUCCGUAGGCCCGGCCGGCGCCCGCCGGCGACCCCCCUCAAUCUUUUCAGGUUGACCUCGGAUCAGGUAGGGAUACCCGCUGAACUUAAGCAUAUCAAUAAGCGGAGGA